Long non-coding RNA from Arvicola amphibius (Eurasian water vole), 1034 nucleotides. RefSeq lists it as uncharacterized. Lineage: Eukaryota; Metazoa; Chordata; Mammalia; Rodentia; Cricetidae. The transcript is spliced from 2 exons. The record is from RefSeq and is a predicted model, not a curated record.
AUUGAUACAAAUUUGAGAUUAAUUUUCUUACAACAUACUAUAUAUUUCUACUCUUGUUCAAGGUAUUGUACCUACAUAACUCAUUUAACAAUAUAGUGAAAAUUUCUAGUUCUUGAAAUUAUUACAAACUGCAUAGGAUAAUAAUACAGGGUUAGUAAUUAGUCAUCUAUUAUAUUUGAACUUACAGUCAAAUAAGGUAUGCUUUCAAAGCCAAAGAUAUAUUUUAGAUAUAGACAGGUCAUCUUCAAACACUUCAGAGAUCUACAGAAUAUGGCAUUUAAAAUGUUUUAAUAUCCUCAGUUCUUUAUGUCAGAGAGACAUGUCUGCUCCUGGCAGCACCAAUCUACUUUAGAGAAGAUAAUAGCAUCAAACAAACUCCACAUGGAGUUUACUUUCUUUGUGGCAAAAGUAAGCUAUUGGGCAAGAAAAUGCCCUUCAACUGCUGACAGUAUGCUGUCCUAACUAGACAAGCAGGACACAGAAGUGACUGCCGAACAUUGUCAAGACAAGGAGGGACAACCCUUUAGAAUAUUCUGCCUUCACAGAAAGUGUGUCAGAUAUGCUAGGCCUGUAGGCUGAAGAUGGAAGCCACAAUGUUGUAGAAGGACCUUGGGUGGCUGUCCAGGCCGACAGCUGUUUCUGUCAUUUCUCACAGUUUUUGGAAGUCGCUUGCUUGUACUUCCUGCUUAUGCAGUUAAUAUUAUUUCCUUCUCAGAUCUCUGAGGGAGUUAAGACUAUCGUUAUAGUUUACCAGAUACAGAAAGCAAGUUAUGAUAAAAAAUAAAUUAGGUAUAAGACUUUGGACCCACCAAGGUAGGUUAGAUAUGGAGUAUUUUCUCUGAAUUUAUCAAGUGCAAAUGGACUAGACAUUGUUGAUGUAUUUAUUGCCUGUAUAUAUUGAAUACAGUUAUUGUACUUUAUAUAGUUUUAUAUUAUAGUCUUCCCUUUUGUAAUAUUAGACAAAAAAGGGAAAUGUAAUGAUAUUUUAUUUGUAUUUUAAUAAAUAAAGCUUGUCUGAAGUUUGGAGAGUAAAA